AGAGUUUGAUCCUGGCUCAGGAUGAACGCUGGCGGCGUGCCUAACACAUGCAAGUCGAACGUGAACUUUGAUACUUGUAUCAAAGUGAAAGUGGCGAACGGGUGAGUAACACGUAGGUGACCUGCCCCGAGACGGGGGAUAACUCUGGGAAACCAGAGCUAAUACCCCAGAUGUCUGAGUCGUUGGAGGACUGAGACUAAAACUGCGGUGUCACGGGAGGGGCCUGCGGGCUAUCAGCUAGUUGGUGGGGUAAAAGCCUACCAAGGCGAAGACGGCUAGGGGGCGUGAGAGCGCGAUCCCCCACAAGGGAACUGAGAGACGGUCCCUACUCCUACGGGAGGCAGCAGUGAGGAAUAUUGAGCAAUGGGCGCAAGCCUGACUCAGCAACGCCGCGUGGAUGAAGACGGCCUUCGGGUUGUAAAAUCCUUUUCUGCGGGACGAUGAUGACGGUACCGCAGGAACAAGUUCCGGCUAACUACGUGCCAGCAGCCGCGGUAAAACGUAGGGGACAAGCGUUAUCCGGAUUUACUGGGGCGUAAAGCGCCCGUAGGCGGCUAUGUAAGUUGGCUGUGAAAGCUCCCGGCUUAACUGGGAGAGGUCAGUCAAAACUGUGUAGCUAGAGGCUGGAAGAGGCGAGCGGAAUUCCCGGUGUAGUGGUGGAAUGCGUAGAGAUCGGGAGGAACACCAGUGGCGCAAGCGGCUCGCUGGUUCAGCCCUGACGCUGAGGGGCGAAAGCGUGGGGAGCGAACGGGAUUAGAUACCCCCGUAGUCC
Molecule: ribosomal RNA, 772 nt
Filed under: uncultured Chloroflexota bacterium
Lineage: Bacteria; Bacillati; Chloroflexota
Description: bacterial SSU rRNA
Rfam family: Bacterial small subunit ribosomal RNA
Source: RNAcentral